This 464-nucleotide ribosomal RNA is filed under the name uncultured bacterium. Its description in RNAcentral is "partial 16S ribosomal RNA". It matches the Rfam family "Bacterial small subunit ribosomal RNA", at positions 28 to 506 of the family's 1533-position model. The record is from RNAcentral.
GACGAACGCUGGCGGCGUGCUUAACACAUGCAAGUCGAACGCUGAACCCGCUUCGGUGGGGGAUGAGUGGCGAACGGGUGAGUAACACGUGGGCAACCUGCCCCCGGCUCUGGGAUAACUCCAAGAAAUUGGGGCUAAUACCGGAUGUGACCGCUGGCCGCAUGGUCUGGUGGUGGAAAGGGUUUCCGGCUGGGGAUGGGCCCGCGGCCUAUCAGCUUGUUGGUGGGGUAGUGGCCUACCAAGGCGACGACGGGUAGCCGGCCUGAGAGGGUGACCGGCCACACUGGGACUGAGACACGGCCCAGACGCCUACGGGAGGCAGCAGUGGGGAAUAUUGCGCAAUGGGCGGAAGCCGGACGCAGCGACGCCGCGUGGGGGAGGACGGCCUUCGGGUUGUAAACCUCUUUCAGCAGGGACGAAGCGCAAGUGACGGUACCGGCAGAAGAAGCACCGGCCAACUACGU